UGGAUCCAGACUUUGAUCCUGGCUCAGAACGAACGCUGGCGGCAUGGAUUAGGCAUGCAAGUCGAACGGUGCAGCAAUGCACAGUGGCGCAAGGGUGAGGAACGCGUGAGUAACCUGCCCUUAAGUUGGGAAUAGCUCCUGGAAACGGGAAUUAAUACCGAAUGUGAUCGUCGGGAGACAUCCCUUGAUGAUUAAAGGCCGCAAGGUCGCUUAAGGAGGGGCUCGCGUCCCAUUAGCUAGUUGGUGAGGUAACGGCCCACCAAGGCGAAGAUGGGUAGCUGGUCUGAGAGGACGAUCAGCCACACUGGGACUGAGAUACUGCCCAGACUCCUACGGGAGGCUGCAGUCGAGAAUUUUGGGCAAUGGGGGCAACCCUGACCCAGCAAUGCCGCGUGCGGGAUGAAGGUCUUCGGAUUGUAAACCGCUGUCUAGAGGGACGAAUACAAUUGACGGUACCUCUGGAGGAAGUCACGGCUAACUACGUGCCAGCAGCCGCGGUAAUACGUAGGUGACAAGCGUUGUUCGGAUUCAUUGGGCGUAAAGGGUCCGCAGGUGGUUUGAUAAGUCUGACGUGAAAUACCGGAGCUCAACUCCGGAACUGCGUUGGAGACUGUUGAACUGGAGUAUCGGAGAGGAAAUUGGAAUUCCAGGUGUAGCGGUGGAAUGCGUAGAUAUCUGGAAGAACAUCGGCAGCGAAGGCAGAUUUCUGGACGAUAACUGACACUCAGGGACGAAAGCAUGGGGAGCAAACAGGAUUAGAUACCCUGGUAGUCCAUGCCCUAAACGUUGUAAACUUGAUAUGGGGAGAUUUACUCCUUUCCGUGUCGAAGCUAACGCGAUAAGUUUACCGCCUGGGAACUACGGCCGCAAGGCUACAACUCAAAGGAAUUGACGGA
RNAcentral lists this ribosomal RNA (896 nucleotides) under uncultured organism. Its description in RNAcentral is "bacterial SSU rRNA". It matches the Rfam family "Bacterial small subunit ribosomal RNA", at positions 1 to 917 of the family's 1533-position model. The record is from RNAcentral.